GGCCACUUUACAAAAGAGGGAGGAAAUCAUACUUUCUUAGAUCAUUACACUGAACUUGCAGAAUGACUAAUCCAUACGUUCAAAGCCAUGGCUUUUAUUCCAAGGGAAACCUUAGUCUCUGCUCAAGAUCAGAGUUUAAGGCAGCCUAGGACCUCAACCUAGGGUUAAAGAGCUUGGUGUACCCUUCCCAGAGCCUGCUCUGAGAUGCUUCAGAAAGAAUCUAGAUUCUCUUCCUUGCUCUGAUGCUAAAUGUAUGGUUUUACACAAUCAGUAUCUUCAUAUCCAAAAUGGUGAGACAAUCAACACCCUCCUGGAUCUCAAAGAACUGCCAUAAUGACCAAAUAAGAAAAUGUGUAAGAAAAUGCUUGUAACUACAAAGUGCAAUUCAUAUAUAAGAGAUGAUGAUGAUGAUGGUGAUGGAGGACAUGGCUAAAAUCCACCAACUGGGUGCAGAUGGAUCUUGAUGCAACGUACUAGAAAAGAGUGGAUAAGAGUCACAGCUUGCUAUUUUCAGAUCUUUGCAAGAGAGAGUCAGGAGUAACUGAGUGGAAGACAAAGAAAAAACACUGUGAUGAGGAAGGCAUGGAAAGAAGACGAGUGAACAAUCUUCUCUGAAGGAGAGUGUAGCUUCCAGAAAAUAUGCAGGUGGGAGAGUGGUUGUGGCAGAUUCAAACUCCCAUGGCCAGGAGCAGCCAGAGAUGGAAGGGCAUUUGCUGCAGGAUCCCUCACCUGAGGCAGUUCCAGAUUCCCAGCCCAGCAUGCAGGCUACUGGAUCAUACUUUGUUCUUCCCCUGGCCGCAGGGACUCCAUUGUCUGCGGGAGCACAAAAGCCCGCACAUCCUGGAGUUGAUUGCCCUGGUGGUGUUUACCUCACAAAUGCAGCCUAGUUCAGGCCAGAGGGGAGGCAAAGCCAAU
Molecule: long non-coding RNA, 915 nt
Filed under: Equus asinus (donkey)
Lineage: Eukaryota; Metazoa; Chordata; Mammalia; Perissodactyla; Equidae
Description: lncRNA (ENSEASG00005025975.1)
Source: RNAcentral